Molecule: ribosomal RNA, 394 nt
Filed under: Meconema thalassinum
Lineage: Eukaryota; Metazoa; Arthropoda; Insecta; Orthoptera; Tettigoniidae
Description: partial 16S ribosomal RNA
Rfam family: Archaeal large subunit ribosomal RNA
Source: RNAcentral
AUUUGAAGGGCCGCAGUAUUUUGACUGUGCAAAGGUAGCAUAAUCAUUAGUUUUUUAAUUGAGGGCUAGAAUGAAUGGUUUGACGAAAUAUUAACUGUCUCAAUGUAAAAUAAAGAAUUUAACUUUUGAGUCAAAAGGCUUAAAUAGAAAUGGAGGACGAGAAGACCCUAUAGAGCUUUAUAUAUUAUAAGAAUAUUUAAUUUAGAAUUAUUGAAAUAUUUUUAGAAAUAUAUUGUGUUGGGGUGACAUAGAGAUUUAAAUAACUCUUUAUUAAAAGUACAUUGAUUUAUGAAUAUUUGAUCCAUUAUUAUUGAUUGUAAGAUAAAGUUACCUUAGGGAUAACAGCGUAAUUUUUUUUAAGAGUUCAUAUCAACAAGAAAGAUUGCGACCUCGA